This is a long non-coding RNA of Haliotis rubra (blacklip abalone), 548 nucleotides long. RefSeq lists it as uncharacterized. The transcript has 3 exons. The record is from RefSeq and is a predicted model, not a curated record. Lineage: Eukaryota; Metazoa; Mollusca; Gastropoda; Lepetellida; Haliotidae.
GUAAUAACAGAGUUAUUCCCCCACUUACAAUGUGUAGUAAUAACAGAGUUAGUCCCCUACUUACAAUUUGUAGUAAUAACAGAGUUAGUCCCCCACUUUCAAUGUGUAGCAAUAACACAGCUAGUCUCCACUUACACCGUGUAGUGAUAACACAGAUAGUUCCUCACUUUCAAUGUAUAGUAAUAACAGAGUUAUUCCCCACUUACAGUGUGUAGUGUUCACAGAGUCAGUCCCCACUUACAAUGUGUAAUAAUAACAGAGUUAUUAGUGCCCACUUACAAUGUGUAGUAAUAACAGAGUUAAUCCCCACUUAAUCCAUCGUGUAUUGCUCGCUUCAUUGACUGAAAAAAAUUUGAUGUCUGAAGUCGAAAAAUACUUUUAUUGUUAAUAUGCUCAAACCGAUAUGUUUCAUCACAGGGUAAAAGAAGUCAACAAUGGCUAGCGGCUUAGAAACUUCAUUUGGUGGGGUCAGGCAGCUUCUUGUGCGGGCGGGUUCACUUCACCUUGUGGGGGUGGGUAUGCUGCAUUUUGUGGGGGCGGGUACGUUC